RNAcentral lists this ribosomal RNA (517 nucleotides) under uncultured bacterium. RNAcentral's name for it is "bacterial SSU rRNA". It matches the Rfam family "Bacterial small subunit ribosomal RNA", at positions 9 to 521 of the family's 1533-position model. The record is from RNAcentral.
GAGUUUGAUCAUGGCUCAGAUUGAACGCUGGCGGAAUGCUUUACACAUGCAAGUCGAACGGCAGCACGGGGGCAACCCUGGUGGCGAGUGGCGAACGGGUGAGUAACACAUCGGAACGUGCCCAAUCGUGGGGGAUAACGUAGCGAAAGCUACGCUAAUACCGCAUACGAUCUACGGAUGAAAGCGGGGGGUCGCAAGACCUCGCGCGAAUGGAGCGGCCGAUGGCAGAUUAGGUAGUUGGUGGGGUAAAGGCUCACCAAGCCAACGAUCUGUAGCUGGUCUGAGAGGACGACCAGCCACACUGGGACUGAGACACGGCCCAGACUCCUACGGGAGGCAGCAGUGGGGAAUUUUGGACAAUGGGCGCAAGCCUGAUCCAGCCAUUCCGCGUGCAGGAUGAAGGCCUUCGGGUUGUAAACUGCUUUUGUACGGAACGAAACGGCCUUUUCUAAUACAGAGGGCUAAUGACGGUACCGUAAGAAUAAGCGCCGGCUAACUACGUGCCAGCAGCCGCGGU